Molecule: long non-coding RNA, 2760 nt
Organism: Xiphophorus couchianus (Monterrey platyfish)
Lineage: Eukaryota; Metazoa; Chordata; Actinopteri; Cyprinodontiformes; Poeciliidae
Exons: 3
Source: RefSeq, a predicted model, not a curated record
AACAACACAAAAACCUCUGAAGACACUGAGAGCAACUUCCUUCUUCACCAGAUGGAAACAAGAUGGAGGCGUCAGAUUUUAGAGCUGGAGGAUUUCUGUUUAGUCAUUGGCUAAAGAUCAGGAGCCAUUUCUGCUGCUAACGCUAGGCUAACACUUUAGCUUUGGUUGUAUUUACCCAGAAUGCCCUGCUCUGCAGUCCACUUCCUGCUUUUGGAGCGGUCUCUGGUCCGCUUGGUGUUUACAUUCAAACCGAACCCAGCCCGAGGUUUGGAGAACCAGAGUUAGCUUAGCAUUCACACCUCACCAACCGGACUGGACUUUGACUAGGCAGACGGACUGGAGUCGGAUUAAAGCGGACUGGGCUGGUGGGAACGAUGCAGUGUUUUCAAAACUGCGCUUGAGUAACGAGAACAUCAAAAAGUUUCCCACCCUGCUGCAAUCUGACUGCAGUCAGGGUGGGAAACAACAUGGCCGCCAGCCGUACUGGAGCCUGAAGGAGCGGAGACUGGUGGGACGUCCUCAGAUUGGACAGCUGGACUGGGAACCAGUACUGCCAACACUGAUCCAUCCGACCAAUCAGUUGAGGGAGAUGACAGUUUCUGAAAACUGGAAACCCUGAGAACCAGAACCGUCAUCACCUCAGGACCCAGUAUGACUUUCCGCCCGGUAACUAAUGAUGCUUCCUGGCGAUUCAUGGAAAAUCUGGUCUGGCAUCCGGACCGGAACCAGAUCCCAGACGUCUGUCACAAGUAUUCCCUUCUGCCUCUGCGAUUAUGCGACGAAAUGAUCUGAUGAGGCCGACAGGAAAAACGAAGAGAAGAGGCUUCUGCAUCUGGAGACCCUCGCCCCUCCCCCACCCGCUGCUGUUACAUAACGCCCCCAUCAGCACGUUUUUCCCAGGCUUUGACUGUUCCCGGGUUUUGACUGUUCGCUGCUCGUUCCCCUCAUGGAUCUGCUGCUAGUUUUUGUCAUUCUGAAAACUUUCACCGGGUCGUUCCGGGUUCUGCUCUGCAUUUUGCUCCAGUUUUCACCGAACAGAAAGAAAAUCCACUCUGAUGUUUCUGCAGCUGAUUUCAGAUCGUUUCUGUGAACCGGAGCGAUUCUUCUGUGAACACUUUAAUAACCGUCAUGUUUCAUAGCUUCAUGCUCCAGGAACUCUGCGUGAUUCUUCAGCCGGCGGCGGCGGAGCGUCAUCCAAACACCAAAAACCCAUUUGGCUCCGUCCGGUCGCUAAACCUCUCCUCCUGGAAACACGGAGCAACAUCUGUUCUGCUCCCUGGAUUUCCUUCCAUGUUUGGAGGCCAGCGGAGCGAACGUUCAGAUUAAACACGCAGCGACCUCGCCGUCGUGUUUAACCUGAAAUAUGCAUGCUGGCGUCUUCUGCUCCAGCAAAGCAUCUGCUCAUUACGCGGCGCAGUCAUCAGCUGCUGCUGCUCCAGGAUGAGGUCAGGCGCCUGCGGGCCGAGCCGCUACCUCCAACACGGCCGAUCCGCCUGCUGCACCCAGACAUGCAUAAUGCAUGACUGCAUAACGCGGCGCAGGGGGGUCAGGCAGGAAGCAGGAAGCAGAGACGCUUCUGGAAGCAGCUGCUUCCCUUCGUCUCAGCAGAUCUGAACAAAGUCUGUCGAACUUUUCACUGAACAAGAACUGAGACUCAUUCUGGCCCAGAGGCGUCACCAGAAAUUAUGAGGGCAGCACGAAAUUAGCAUUCAUGCCUCGCCGACCGGACCGGACUUUGACUAGACAGACACACUAGAGUUGGAUUAAAUCAAACUGCAGCCUAAAUUCCUGCUGUUUUCCAGUGAAAAAAGCUCCAUAGAUGUAUUUCAUUCUUUAUUAUUAUUCUUAUAUUUGGGUUGCCUGUCCGGCCCGUUUGCGGUUCUGGUUCUGGUUCCUGUUAAUCAGCUGCAGGAGGAAAACAAACAUCCUGAAAUAAACCUGGAUUCCCAGAGAAGCCUGGAGGAUUUCUGGCGUAACAUCCAGAGCCGGGUCGACUGGCGCCUGCAGCCAAAUGUUCACUUAGUGAGAGGAGACCGCCGAGCCUUCAUCACUCCUCUUCCUCGGCCCGCCGCCGCCGCACCACUUAGCGCAGCGGCAGCUUCUUCAGGCGGCUGACCCGCGUUACAACGGAUGUCUGGAAAAAGUUCCGUAUUUUGUGUUCCUCAUGUCAGGAAGUGAAACGGAUCUAUGAUAUAGAUCUAUCACACAGAGAGUGGAACCGCUCAGCCUUUUUUCUACAAGUUCUGAUGAUUCUGGAAUGAAAACCCAGAAUUCAGAACAUCGGAUCAAUAAAAAUGAUCAGUUUGACAGAAAUGAUCAUCGCUCUGCUCUCAGCUCUGGUCUGGUCUGAAUUCCUGCAUCAAUAGAACCGGAACCAGAACCGGAACCAGCAGAUGACCUGAUACAACCCAGAUCAUCACUGACUGGACCUCCAUCCAGGUUCUGGUUCUUCCAGUCUCUGAUCUCCAGAUGAAAUGAAAACUUUACUUUCAUCUGAAAACAGAACUCUGGACCGGUUCUGGUUCUGCUCGGCCCAAAUGGCAGCCCAGGCUCUGGAUCCAGCCUCAGUCCACUCCUGGAAAGCUUGAAUGGAUUCUGCUUCAUAUUAAGGCUGCUGUUGUCGCUAUACUGAACUUUUUCCUUCCACUCAACUUUCCAUAAAUAUGCUUAUAUUCACAGGUUUUUUCAGCCAUGAACCUUUGAGUGUUCCCUUCUCUUUCAGUUUCAUUUCUAUUUAAUUUUUUAUAUAUAACAUUUCUG